ACAGGUUACCAGUAAAAAAAUUUUUUAGCUGUGAUGAAAUUGUCUGUCAGCAACAGCGGAAGAUUAUCCAUACAGUGACAAAUGUGGCCGGACUUUAUUUGGCAUACUGACCGCUUCUUUUCUGCAAAGAGAAGGAGCGAGAGUUUCAAAUCGCACCUCUUGCUCCCUCCAUGCGUUCAAAUCACCAUCUGGGAAAGCCUGAUAAGCUCAGAUGCAGACACCAGCAUUUGGGCGCCGACUUGAAGGGGCUGCCUUGAGAGAGCCGGCCCCCUGAAGCUCUGGAUGCAGCUUCAGCUGCACUGUCUUCUCUUCUUCUCUGUUGGGUCUGGAGUUUUUAGUGAGGUUUGUAGUGGUGUCCCUGCUCUGUUAUGACAUCCAGACCCUCUUUACUACGAUGUACACACUCCUCCUGGUUACCUUGUCUGCAAAUGCCAGAGCCGUUUUGUGCCUCAGGGAGUAUACAGGGAUCAAAUGGCAACAAUUCAGUCUUAUGAACCACUGGAGAGGCAGAAUGUCUCCAGAGGUCUCCCCAGAGCACGCUGCAUGCCAGGAUGAGGAGGUUCACUGAUCACUGAGCGAUGGAGGUCUCGAGGAUAAGAUCUGACUUUUUUCCCACUGAUACUGGCUGUCCCACUGACAGAGAAAACAGACAACAUGCUGCUGUUGAAGUGCCUGCAAAGUGAUGCGCCAGGAGGAGUCUCGAAGCAGACGUUUUGCCAAAAUAAAGACUAUGGGUACAAAUAGAAUACACUUUUGUAAUUGUGAAUGUAAUUAUCAGCACUGUUUGUUUUCAUGCAGUUGAACGUACCUGCAAAUGCGAGAGUGAAUAAAUGAUAAUGAGGCAUCAUUAUCAUCA
Monopterus albus (swamp eel) is the source of this 856-nucleotide long non-coding RNA. RefSeq lists it as uncharacterized. NCBI's taxonomy places the organism in Eukaryota, Metazoa, Chordata, Actinopteri, Synbranchiformes, Synbranchidae. The record is from RefSeq and is a predicted model, not a curated record. The transcript has 4 exons.